ACAGCAUUGCGGAUAUAAUACCUUCUGUCGAUAUAUACUGAUAUAAAUAUAUGAAUUAUUUCGUCAUUGGGAAAAAAAGAAAGAAAGAAAGAAAACUCAAUAUCUACAUAAGCUUUGGUUUGACGUCACGGCAAGGGGUGAGGGUAUAGAUGUAGAGCAAUAAUUUAAGACAGAAAUAUAUCGAUAUAUUCCGUAACUAAAAGGACGAUUUUUAACCAACAAAAAGCACAAUAUUUAUAUAUAGAAAAACUCGCUUGAAAUACUUCAUCAAGAAAGGAACAAUCCAGGCGCGGCCUCCCUCCGCUGCCCAAAAAACAAAUAAGAGUCAAAAUAUGCUCUCACGCUUUUCCCUUACCAUUUCACUGUGUUAGAGUUGUUAUGGUAAUGUGAGAAGUUAUAUAUGCCCAAGGGAGUAGCAUGCAUAUGUGUAUCUUCGUUCUUUUCCCUCCCGCGCUUCAAACAGUGUCGUUAGUUUCUCACCACCUCGAAUGAGAAAAAAGAAAACAAAAAAGCCAAGGAUAAAGAGUAAGAAGAUAUAAUAGAAAUCGGGCGUGAAAGGAGAAGGAUUGCAGCGUCAACAAUUUAUUUCCCCGGCGGGCGCACAAUGAGGCGUGAGUAGGAAAGGGACGAAAACAAAGAGAGGAGAAGGAAGGCCAGACAACAAAAACAAAUUCAAGCCAAAGAGAUUUGAUCGUCCAUAUGAUAAAAUAUGGAUAAUAGUUUAAGUGUAUGCCACCCCAGCGAUAUCAAUAGGAAACAAAAAAAGGAUAAACGAAAAAUGUUCAAGAAAACGCCAUGCUAGAUUGAUAGAUCGAUCGAUCGAUAGAUAAAUAAAUAACUAGGUCCAUAGGAUAGGACAGCAUAGUAUAGUACCCUGGGCUAAAAAUCAAUAAAAAAAAAUAAACAACGAAUAGAGAGCAAAAUAUAUGUAUAAGAAAAGAAAAUGCUAUCAUCAAAGGCGACGGAUUUCGGAGGGAUCGGGAGGUGUAGGUAUGUCCGUUCCUCCCCUUCCUUGUCCGUCGAACAAAAGGUGACAAAAGAGAAAAGGCAAAAUACCCUCAUUAGACACGCGCACACACGCAUGCAUAUACACACAAAUGGACAGCAAAAAGGGAGGCAAAAUAGAAACAAAGAAAAACAAAAGGACAUGACAAUGAGUGAGGAGAGGAGAAAGAAUAGUGACUUUGUUUCGGUAAUGAAAGUAAUACUGUGCGAAGAAUUUUUCGGGAAGAGAUUUGAGUAGGGAUGAGAACAGGAAUGGAUGGAAACGCGAAGGAAUGUAUGUGCACAUGUAGGGGUGAUAUGAUAUGAUAUGGAAAUGGUAUGAUGCCUGUAUAUAUCGAGAACGGGUACGUGAGAAACGUAUUUCCUGCCUUUCCUUCACUAAAUCAUGUCGUCAAUGGAAAUGAAUAGAAUACACCCCAGCCCGACAUAUAGGGCGGAAAUUGAGAAUGGUUGAGCGAGGUAUCUUCCAAUUGGAGAUUUGGUCAGGUAAAUCAGGAGAACGUUUGAAAGUUGUGUUGUAUAUAGAUGUAUGCGGAAAAGCGGAAUUUUUCGAAGGAAUGGGUAGGAGGGCCGUAUAUAUGUUUAUCCUUGUAUGUGUGUAUGUGUGUGUGCGCAUGUGGAAAAUCGACAUCGAAGGUUAAGAAGUAUGAACAAGGCUUUCUGGAAAGGUCCAGAUUAAGACCUGAACCGGCUUGACCUGAAGGCGGUAAUAUCAAUGGAAAUAGAGGAUACGGAGGAGCCAUCGUCGACCUCGAUGGCCGCUUCUGAACCGUCUGGUGCCCUCUUCUCGUUUGCUUUCAUGAUCAGCGUAGAUCCUGGAGCAAUCUUCCCAUCCUCAUCGUCCUCAUCGUCGUCAUCCUCCGCUUGGAGAGCCUCAGUAGCUGCCUUCGCGGCCUCCUCCUCCUUCUCCCUCUCCGCCUCCUUUUCUAACCGUUCCACCUCCACCUUCGCCAGGUCAAGCACAGUGGAAAGUCGUUCAUUUGCUUUCUCCAACUCCACAGCACAAUCUCCACACCGUAGGAAUUGAUGAGCGGCCGUUUCGCAUAGAGAUUGGGCCAAUUCCAACUGUUUAUCGACGAGAUCAAAUGCUGUCUCCCUGCUGGGUGACCUGUUGAGUUUCGACGGC
This 2131-nucleotide small RNA is filed under the name Histoplasma capsulatum var. duboisii H88. Its description in RNAcentral is "Histoplasma capsulatum H88 hypothetical RNA". The record is from RNAcentral. Lineage: Eukaryota; Fungi; Ascomycota; Eurotiomycetes; Onygenales; Ajellomycetaceae.